AUUGAACGCUGGCGGCAUGCCUUACACAUGCAAGUCGAACGGCAGCACGGGAGCAAUCCUGGUGGCGAGUGGCGAACGGGUGAGUAAUAUAUCGGAACGUGCCCAGUCGUGGGGAUAACGUAGCGAAAGCUACGCUAAUACCGCAUACGAUCUAUGGAUGAAAGCGGGGGAUCGCAAGACCUCGCGCGAUUGGAGCGGCCGAUAUCAGAUUAGGUAGUUGGUGNGGUAAAGGCUCACCAAGCCGACGAUCUGUAGCUGGUCUGAGAGGACGACCAGCCACACUGGGACUGAGACACGGCCCAGACUCCUACGGGAGGCAGCAGUGGGGAAUUUUGGACAAUGGGCGCAAGCCUGAUCCAGCAAUGCCGCGUGCAGGAU
Molecule: ribosomal RNA, 378 nt
Filed under: uncultured bacterium
Lineage: Bacteria
Description: bacterial SSU rRNA
Rfam family: Bacterial small subunit ribosomal RNA
Source: RNAcentral